UGGGGAAUAUUGCACAAUGGAGGGAACUCUGAUGCAGCGACGCCGCGUGAGUGAUGAAGGAAUUCGUUUCGUAAAACUCUGUUCUAUGGGAAGAAAAGGACUGUACCAUAGGAGAAAGCUCCGGCGAAAUACGUGCCAGCAGCCGCGGUAAUACGUAUGGAGCGAGCGUUGUCCGGGAUUAUUGGGCGUAAAGGGUGCGCAGGCGGCUUUACAAGUUGGAUGUGAAAUAUUGUGGCUCAACCACAAACGUGCAUCCAAAACUGCAAAGCUUGAGUUAAGGAGAGGGAAGUGGAAUUCCUGGUGUAGCGGUGGAAUGCGUAGAUAUCAGGAGGAAUACCGGUGGCGAAGGCGACUUACUGGACUUAGACUGACGCGCAGGCACGAAAGCGUGGGGAGCAAACAGG
RNAcentral lists this ribosomal RNA (404 nucleotides) under Fusobacteriota bacterium. RNAcentral's name for it is "Fusobacteria bacterium partial 16S ribosomal RNA". It matches the Rfam family "Bacterial small subunit ribosomal RNA", at positions 355 to 776 of the family's 1533-position model. Lineage: Bacteria; Fusobacteriati; Fusobacteriota. The record is from RNAcentral.